UGAAAUGCCAGUUCCUGUAUGAUCAGUGAAGUUAAGCAACAUUGAGCCUGGUCAUAAUUAGAUGGGUGACUGCUUGGGAAUACCAGGUGCUGUAAG
Molecule: non-coding RNA, 96 nt
Organism: Acanthosepion pharaonis
Lineage: Eukaryota; Metazoa; Mollusca; Cephalopoda; Sepiida; Sepiidae
Source: the annotation of a GenBank genome assembly